Molecule: microRNA, 23 nt
Filed under: Cricetulus griseus (Chinese hamster)
Lineage: Eukaryota; Metazoa; Chordata; Mammalia; Rodentia; Cricetidae
Description: cgr-miR-582
Gene: cgr-miR-582
Source: miRBase by way of RNAcentral
UAACCUGUUGAACAACUGAACCC